AGAGAAGAGGAGGUAUCUUGCAGUGGGCCUCUGUCCCAAAAACAAGCAGAAUUUUUUCUUUCUCAACAGGCUUCUUUGCUAAAGAAUGAUGAGACUAAGGCCCUCACUCCAGCUUCCUUGCAGAAGGAAUUAAACAAUUUGUUGAAAUUUAAUCCUGAUUUUGCUGAAGCGCAUUAUCUCAGCUACUUAAACAACCUCCGUGUCCAAGAUGUUUUCAGUUCAACACACAGUCUCCUCCAUUAUUUUGAUCGUCUGAUUCUUACCGGAGCCGAAAGCAAAAGUAAUGGGGAAGAGGGCUAUGGCCGGAGCUUGAGAUACGCCGCUCUGAAUCUUGCCGCCCUGCACUGCCGCUUCGGUCACUAUCAACAGGCAGAGCUCGCCCUGCAGGAGGCAAUUAGGAUUGCCCAGGAGUCCAACGAUCACGUGUGUCUCCAGCACUGUUUGGUGAGGCCAUCCUCUGGUCUUGGGAGUUUUGUUCACGGGUUGAAUUGGCCUUCACAAGGCCCCGUUGAAUUGGGUUGUUUUGCAGUUGGAGCAGAGAUCUUCAGCAGCAAAAGGAAACAAAGCUGGCUUUAUGUGCUGGGGCAGAAGAGAUCCGAUAGCUAUGUUCUGCUGGAGCAUUCUGUGAAGAAGGCAGUACAUUUUGGGUUACCG
Molecule: small RNA, 654 nt
Filed under: Pan troglodytes (chimpanzee)
Lineage: Eukaryota; Metazoa; Chordata; Mammalia; Primates; Hominidae
Description: retained intron
Source: RNAcentral